RNAcentral lists this transfer RNA (67 nucleotides) under Marmota monax (woodchuck). RNAcentral describes it as "tRNA.Gly". Lineage: Eukaryota; Metazoa; Chordata; Mammalia; Rodentia; Sciuridae. The record is from RNAcentral.
GGCAGUAGCUCAUUGGUAGAGCGCCCACCUCCCACUAGUGAGGCACUGGGUUCGAUUCUCAGCACCA